GAACCAAAAACCACUCAACUCAAAUCAGUAGUUGAAACAUUUUAUUAAGGCAAAGUGUGGAGAGCUGAGUUUCUGCAUUCCCCACAUGGGUGUGUUUUGAUUUCAUGCCGAUCUGCUUAUUUUCUCUUACCUGGAGCUUCAAAAGGAAGCUAAAAUAGGAAAUGCAGGAAAUCCUGACUAAAAUGAUGAAUAAGAGGCUAUGAUUUUACAAAGCCUGGUCUUCCAGCUCCCAAAAUAUCUGUGGUGGCCAGUUUGUUUACGUUUGUUUUUAACCGACAGUCUAUCAUGGAGUAAAAUUUUUGGUGAAAGACAAAAGCAUACUCUUUGUUGUGAUGUCAGUGAGAAAUGGAUAUGAAGAGUUUCCACACUCUAACUUCUUGUAUCUAUAUAACAAAUAAUUUGAGCAGUACCUUUCUAGUGGACUAAUAGUUUGGCAGUUCACACACCCUCCAUUUAGAUGCUAAAAAGUUCAAAUGACCCAGUUAGACUACUCAACCUUUCUAGGACUUGUGUUUUGUUUUGGUUCUAGUUUUAAGGGAGUUGUUUGAGCAUACUGUAAAAUGUAAGAUACUAAAAAUACCUUUGAUUAGAAGUGUUUUAAAUACUGUACAUAACUUGAUGGGAAAUUUGUUGCCUGUUCAAUUGGUAACUGGGAGAGAGUUUAGUGCAUCUGAUUUCAACAUUUUCUAUGGAUAUUCAUUUCUUAACUGAGUGUCUGGGAGGAAGCAAAAUAAGUAACAAACAGCUCAAAAUACACACAUAUGCACAGACACACAAAGAAAUAUAGCUUUCAUAGAUAUGUGUAACCCAUGGUGAGAGUACAUACAAUAAACCUGGAUAACUCUGAAGGGAAUGAGAUUGACUUUGUCUGGUUUUGAAUUCUUAUAGGCUUUUUUCAAAGGAAAUUAAGAAGUAGGUUGAGGAAACCUAAUUAAGCUUGCUUUGGACAGGUAUCUCUAUGAGGCCCUACUAUGAGGCCAAUAUGUAUUGGAGGGCAAAGGGAUGUCUUGAGUGAAAAGAAAAUAUAGUACUUUGCAGUGGGAAACAUAUUUUAAAAAUGUAUCAGUGAAAACUAGAAUGCAUUUGAAAAGUUUUUGAACCCAUCUCCAAGAUAGGAUUGUAAAUUCAUGAAGUAUUUAUCAAUAUGUUGCUUUUGGGGUGUUAGAUGUCUAUGUACCACCGCUUUUUUCUUCCCAACUUUCAAUGUAUCUAUAGUCCAGAAGUUUGCCUCAGCUGAGUAAGAAGAAAAAAGGUGAGCAGAUCCUAUUCAAAGGCAUCAGCAGCCAAACAGAUGUGGUAAGAGUGAUGGUUCUUGUGUUAGAAGGCACCUGGCUGCUGCUUUGAUUCAGGAAAAUGGCACCCAGAGAGUUGUUUGGAAAUGAGUCAAAUGAUCCAGGAUGGGAGAAGCUGAUUUAUUUGACUAAAUUUAGGCAAGAGGCAUUGAAACUACUCCCACUUAUCAAGGUUUAUGCAAGGCCAUUAUAGUAUUUCCACAUUAUCUCUCACUUUAUUAAUUCAUUCAAGCAGUCUAUUUGCUUUUUGGCCCAAUGUAACCCAUUGAGCAGACAUCUUAAUUGAGCUGUUCAUAAUGAUGCCUACAUCUUUUUCAUGAGGAGUGCCAACUAAUUCAGAACCCAUCAGAGCCAUUAGUGCAUGGGAACUUUAAAUGGUCUUUUUCAAUAUGCAUUACUUUGCAAUGAACUACUCUGAAGUGUAUUGGCCAUGAAUAACCUAAUCAAUUUGUCUUGGUUUCUUUGGGAAUACCAGAGAAUCACUCAGUGCCUCAGCUGGCUUUAUGAUACUAUGAUCUCUUGGUUAAACUGGUUGGUCAAACUUCAAUUCUUACUUUCAGUAUUUUCAUUUUUAGAAUGUGUUUGGCCAUCAAAAUCCUAAGGUUCAGUGGAGGGUAUUUAGUGCAGCAGUUAAGACCCCACUUGGGAUAUCUGCAUUCUGUAUUGUAAUGCCUGGGUUCAGGGCUGAAUCCACUUCUGAUUCUAGCUUUCUGCCAGUACACACCCUGCAAGGCAGCAAGUGAUGGCUCAAGUACUUGAGUUCCUGUCACCCACAUGGGCAACAUGGAUUGAGUUCUCUGCUCCUGAUUUUAACUUGGUAGCCCUGGCUGUUACAGGAAUUUGGGCAGUGAACCAGUAUAUGAGAUCUCACUGUGUGUCUAUCUCUCUACCUUUGAAGUGAAUAAAAUAGUGGUAGGUGUUGUAGCACAAUUUGUUUAACGGACAUUUGGGAUGUUGGCAUCCCAUUUGGAGUGCAAGUUUGAGUCACGGCUAUUCUGCUUCUGAUCCUGUUCCCUGCCAACAUGCCUGGGAAGCAGUAGAAGGUGGCUCAAGUACUGAAUUCUUGCCACUUAUGUGGAGAUCUGGAUGGAGUUCAGGGCCUUGGCCUGCCUCACCCCUGGCUGUUGUGGUUGUUUGGCAAGUGAAUCAAUGGAUGGGAGAUCUCUCUCUGUCUGUCCCUCUCUGCAACUCUGCCUUCAAAUAAAUAAGUAAAUAAUUAAAAAAAUUUUUUGACUUGAAAGGCAGAAUUACAGAGAGAAUGAACCAUCUACGGGUUUACUCCCCAAAUGGGCACAACAGGAGAAGCUGGGCUGAUCCGAAGCCAGGAGCCAGGAGCUUCUUCCAGAUCUCCCACAUGGGUGCAGGGACCCAAGAACUUGGGCCAUAUUCUGCUGCUUUCUCAGGCACAUUAGCAGGGAACUGGAUUGUAAGUGAAGCAGCCAGGACUAGAACUGGUGCCCAUAUGGGAUGCCGGCACCCAGGCAGCAACCUUACGUGCUAUGCCACAGCACCAGCCCCAAAUAAACAAAUUCUUAAAAAAAAAAUAGAACUAUAGAAAUUUAAAAUACCCUGAAUUUUUAUUUUAAGUUAAAGUUAUAUUUGAAGUCUUUUCUAUUAUUUAAAAAAAAACCUUAGGCACUAAAAAUCUCCAAAGGAUGAAGGAAAUCAGAAAGUAUAUGUCUCAUAAUAAAAUUCUACAUAGAAGAAAUAUAUUUCAAUAUUCAACCAGGCUAAUGGAUUCCAUAAUAAAAAUUAAUAAUUCUGCAUAUAUUUGAAUCUAGCAAAGUGCUGAUUUUGUUUGUAUGCUUUGAUUUGAAAUUUAUUGAAAUGAGUAAUCAUUCUUGAUUUUUCAAAUUCUCCCUUUAUAAAAAUAUUGAAAAUUUAAGAGUGGAAGUAAUCUUUAGACUUCCAUCCUGCUAAGAGAUAGGCAAAUCUUUCUCUGGAAUUAGGCAUAUAUUAUAAAAGAAGGAGGAUGAUAUGCUGUGAUGUGAUGACUACUUCAUCUGUAUUUUUGCACAUAUAUGGUGAAGGUGAAUCAUAAUAUUUGGCUUCCAAAAUGUAGGAUAUUUAGAUUAGUUAUAAGGGCAACCUACUAUUGAAGUCUAUUAAAAUUUUAAUCUUGGCUUGAGAAUAUUUCAAAUAUAUGUGGAAAAUAAUUCAUAAUUUCUCAAAAUCAUGAUGUGGUUGCCAUACAGAUGAAUUAUUACUCUUCGGAGAAAUGGAAUUUGGCUGUAGCUCCAUUAUCAUCAUCCUGGCCACUAGCCGAUCCUUAGGUCACAACAACAGGUGUUUGGUGUUCUUUGCCUCAUUUUCACAAAACUAUAUGUAAUCAUGAAAGUAAAUAAUCAUGUGGUGUAUUUGAUUUACUUCAUUCUGAUUGGAUUUGGGCAUCAAAAUAACAUUAAUAGAAGUCAUAGCAAAAUAUUUUUUACCAUUCAUGACAUAAAACAACAAAUAUAUUUGUAUUUUGAGAGGAACUGCUUUUCCAGAUGAUGGGUGAAGGUCAGUAGGAAUUAUUUGAUUUUCAUCUUCAGAUUCAUAAAUCUCAUUUUGAUUUGAAAGUGGCACAGGAAAACUAUUAAUAUUACAUAUGUCAAUGACAAAUAGUAUCAAGUAUCCAAAUAUCCAUCAUCCAAUUCAGAUAUCCCUCUGUAAUCUGGGGGAUUUUGAUCAACAACAAUGAUCAAAUGGGAAGUUGUUUGUUGGCAAAAUUUCUCUUAGUGCAUAGAAACCAAAGCCAUCUUACUCUAUUGGCCCUUUAAAAAACUAUUUCAGUGAUAAUAACAACAGUUUGCAUGUUGCAGUGUCACUAUUUUUCAAGUCAGCUUUGGCAAUUUUCCCACUCACAUAUUUCUGAUUUUAUCCAUCUCAAAUUCUCUGGAGAAUGAUGGACACUCACCAGCAACCAGUUUCAUCACAAAGGAAAUAGCAAUAACAAAAAGGUUGUGCUUCCAUAGCCAUACGGCCCACCUUGCAAGCAUCAGAGAAUCUACCCAUUUUGUCAUGUCCACAUGGAGCACAGUGUGGGGAACAAGGCAGCAAUCUUAAGGACACCCAUAUUUCAUUGGCCAAUUCUGAACAGAUGUGAAAGGAUGGUGAUUAUGUGGGAAAGAAGAUGGCAAUAAUAACCAUAAAUCUGAAAGCUGAGAAUUUGCAAGGUAAUGUUAUAUAAAAGUGAAAUAGGCUUGAUGCCUGGCCAGAGAAUAUUCACAUGGAAAGCCUUCACUGCUACACUGAGCCAUUGAGAAGGUGGGACUGGCUAUCCUAUUGUCCUUACACUUCAAGGAUUGGCCUUUUUCUUCCUGGUAUUGCAGCAUCAGUGAGCACUUUGUGGAGGAGACAGCUGGGUUCCCAGAGAAGCAAUGGCCGCCUUGAUCCCUGUUCCAGGGAGAGGAGGUCAAGUCGCAGGUCAGGAAGUGGGAAUACUGGGAGUGUGAAAUAGAUCCCUGCAGUGUUCUUCGCUUGUAACUUUAUCACAAAAGCAUGGUGUGCACCAACUGCUGGAAUUCUGUUCUCCUUCCUGGGCU
Molecule: non-coding RNA, 4819 nt
Organism: Oryctolagus cuniculus (rabbit)
Lineage: Eukaryota; Metazoa; Chordata; Mammalia; Lagomorpha; Leporidae
Source: RefSeq, a predicted model, not a curated record